AAUGAACGCUGGCGGCGUGCCUAACACAUGCAAGUCGGAUGUGCCCGCAAGGGUGCAUGGCAGACGGGUGAGUAACGCGUGGGGAACCUACCUCUUUGUGGGGAAUAACGUUCCGAAAGGAAUGGUAAUACCGCAUGAGACCUUCGGCUGGGAUGCUGGAGGUGAAACCCGGGGACCGUAAGGCCUGGGGCAAGGAGAGGGUCCUGCGUCUGAUUAGCUAGUUGGCGGGGUAAUGGCCCACCAAGGCGACGAUCAGUAGCCGGCCUGAGAGGGUGAUCGGCCACACUGGAACUGAGACACGGUCCAGACUCCUACGGGAGGCAGCAGUGGGGAAUUUUGCGCAAUGGACGAAAGUCUGACGCAGCAACGCCGCGUGGGUGAUGAAGGUCUUCGGAUUGUAAAACCCUGUCGUCAGGGACGAAGGUUGGGGCUUUAAUAGAGUUUCAACUUGACGGUACCUGGAGAGGAAGCCCCGGCUAACUCUGUGCCAGCAGCCGCGGUAAUACAGAGGGGGCAAGCGUUAUUCGGAAUUACUGGGCGUAAAGGGCGCGUAGGCGGUUCUUUAAGUCGGAUGUGCAAUCCCCGAGCUCAACUUGGGAACUGCAUCCGAAACUGGGGAGCUAGAGUGCUGGAGAGGGUGGUGGAAUUCCACGUGUAGCGGUGAAAUGCGUAGAGAUGUGGAGGAACACCAGUGGCGAAGGCGGCCACCUGGACAGUAACUAACGCUGAGGCGCGAAAGUGUGGGUAGCAAACAGGAUUAGAUACCCUGGUAGUCG
This 776-nucleotide ribosomal RNA is filed under the name uncultured bacterium. RNAcentral describes it as "bacterial SSU rRNA". It matches the Rfam family "Bacterial small subunit ribosomal RNA", at positions 28 to 796 of the family's 1533-position model. The record is from RNAcentral.